This 1065-nucleotide long non-coding RNA is filed under the name Musa acuminata (dwarf banana). Its description in RNAcentral is "long non-coding RNA (MACU_LNC001384)". Lineage: Eukaryota; Viridiplantae; Streptophyta; Magnoliopsida; Zingiberales; Musaceae. The record is from RNAcentral.
GAAGAAAAGGGAUGCAGAUGCGAGGCGACGGAUAGUAGGGCCAUGGGCAUGGUAGCGCCAUGGUACCGCAGAGGCGGGACUUCCGUGAAAGUCAUUGAUCCCUUGCUCUCAUGGAGGGAGAGCGCUUGGUCGUGAAAGGGGCCGAGGAGGUGGAGAAUGCAGAGGCAAUCUCCAAGUACCGAGACAAGGCUGAAGGGCAGAGGCCGAAGAACUUCGUAAGACCGGUGUCAAUGUGCUUCUCAUCAAGAUAGCCGAAAGUGAAGGACUUCGGGUCAUGCAAGAGUGCAUAACCAAGGAACGAAGCAGGCAGUACGCGGUGCUGUACCUUUGCUACUCAGUGGAGUAGGCGGCAGGGUUGAUGGAGAAGACGGUACAAUCCCAGAGGUGACCAAACCUAUGAGAGAACUACUCCAAGUUGGGGUGAAAACUUCCUGCAUUCCAGAAGUUCAAUGGCAUUGAUAAGGUGAAUCACAGUAACUAACUCAACGCAAGGAGUGCAAACACUUCAAGUGCUUUAGAAGUGUGAGCAAAGAGCAGGCGAAGGCUAGUAACCAACUCGAUGCAUGAAGUACAACCUCAAGGAGGCGAGCGAAGUCAAAUAACCUUUGCCUUCUCAACUCUUAAGAAAAUGGGCGAAACCGAGUACCCCAAUUCUCUUAUCUAUCCAGCAGAGGAGCUCUGCAUAAGUUCAAAGACCCUUCGAAGAUAAUGGAAGACAAUAGUUGUCAAAUCCUCACCAAUGGUGAUCAGUGCUACUGAGAGUAGAUUGUCCGCUUCAUUUCCCAACGAAAUGUCAAUCGAAAGCGGAAGUGAUGCGAACCUACUUGGAUGUGACAACUAAGUGAAAGAAGAGUCAAUGAGCAAAUGUUGUGGAGGAAGGACCCAAAACUUCAGAAGUUUGCGAGACGAUGCUCGUUAAAGCUCCAACAAGCAUCCACCCAGUUCAAGCAGCAUGUGGAAUUUGAGAGACUAGCGCAGUAAGGAUGGUCUUUUCCUUCAUCUGGGGGAUCCGCAAGAAUCAACAAUGAUCAACACAACUCAGCCAACCCCACACCAGAGUCAGAG